This 497-nucleotide ribosomal RNA is filed under the name uncultured bacterium. RNAcentral describes it as "partial 16S ribosomal RNA". It matches the Rfam family "Bacterial small subunit ribosomal RNA", at positions 28 to 507 of the family's 1533-position model. The record is from RNAcentral.
GAUGAACGCUGGCGGCGUGCCUAAUACAUGCAAGUCGAGCGAACAGACGAGGAGCUUGCUCCUCUGACGUUAGCGGCGGACGAGUGAGUAACACGUGGAUAACCUACCUAUAAGACUGGGAUAACUUCGGGAAACCGGAGCUAAUACCGGAUAAUAUAUUGAACCGCAUGGUUCAAUAGUGAAAGACGGUUUUGCUGUCACUUAUAGAUGGAUCCGCGCCGCAUUAGCUAGUUGGUAAGGUAACGGCUUACCAAGGCAACGAUGCGUAGCCGACCUGAGAGGGUGAUCGGCCACACGGGAACUGAGACACGGUCCAGACUCCUACGGGAGGCAGCAGUAGGGAAUCUUCCGCAAUGGGCGAAAGCCUGACGGAGCAACGCCGCGUGAGUGAUGAAGGUCUUCGGAUCGUAAAACUCUGUUAUUAGGGAAGAACAAAUGUGUAAGUAACUAUGCACGUCUUGACGGUACCUAAUCAGAAAGCCACGGCUAACUACGUG